GGUCUGUUGACAGCAACCUGCACAUCAUUCUGAGCAGGAAAGUGGGACCCAGCAUUGGUGUACUUUCCUUCAACAGAAACCCCAGGGACGUUUGACCCUUGUGAGACCCCAGCUUGAACUUGUUGCUCGGGAACAUCAGUUUUCUGAACUUGAAGUCUUCCAUUGCCCACACCAGCGGAUGGGGGAGGUGCCUCAGGCUGCUGAAACUGCAAUAAACCAUCUCCGACAUUAACAUCAUUAUAUAGAUCAUCAUACUCAUCAUCUUCUCCCAUCAACUCUUCAUCUGCAAGAGCAGGUAUAGCUCCACCUCCCUGAUACUGCAUCUUUUGAGCCCCUCCAUACUCGUCCUCCUCAUAAUCUAUUUGUUCUUCAGCCAUCGAAUCCAUUUAAGCUGACCAAGUUACAUCAAAAUAAAGAAAUAUUAUCUCUAUUCCUCCCAUGCAGAACUAUGAACAAAGAUAAAAGACCACUCAAAAUUGUUCUGCUUCUCUACAUCAACAGGUUUUAGAGCCAAAGAUCACCAAUAUUAAAGACCAACAUAGCUCAAAUUUAAGCAGAAUGUGAUUCAUAUGUAUAAACACAUAAUCAACACUUAUUAAUACAAAAGAUCCAUCACCCACCAAGGAAUACAUUUAAGAACCAUAAGAAACACGUCACCAUCCAUCCUAUAACAUAAAAAAAAAAAAAAAAAAAAAAAAACACAAAUCUGCAACACCCGCCGGGUAAAAUUACAUGAAUUACACAGAAACCCUACCCACAAGUGCAAAAAUAACAUAAAAAGGACAAAUCUCCAACACCCACUUCAUGAAGUCAAAAGGACACAAAUCCUUAAAAACCUGUCAAAUUACAUCAUCCAGUAAACAAAAAAUUACAUAUACAUUUCACUACAACGAAACUGAAAAACAUCGGAUAAGAAAAAAAAAAUUAACAAAACGCAGAAUCGAAUCGGGUUUUAUUUAGGUACCCUUACUCUUCUCCCCUCUGAAGAUGUAUGUUUUAUUAACCCUUUAGCUUAAAAAACUAACAGCGCUUGAGCAAAUUGUAUUCACCUUUCUCUUGUUCUUUGAUUUCUGUUUGUAACUCUGUUUUCUGCGCUGGUUGUACAGUGAAACCCUUAUGGAUUUGAUUCAGGUUUCGUCUUUCCCAGUCGGGCGAAUGGCCAAAUACGUGAUAUCUUAAGUCUCUAUAGAUUUAAUAUUAGUUAAAUAAAUUUUUAACCAGCCUUCUCGUAAUUUCCAAGAGUUUAUAGUGGAGAGUUUUCACCGAACUAAAUUUCAUGCUAUUUUCAUAUUUUUCAUUUGUGUAAUUAUACAUUUUACUAUCAUAUAAUUUCCUCAAAAUGAAAUAUUUUAUGAAAUAUUAAAAUAAAAAUUUGGAAUACCUAUUAUUAAUAACCAUAGACAUUUUACAUCUUAACAUUUCAACUGAAAUAAUGUGUUGCAUAAAGUUACUAGAUCAUAUAUUUUUAUAUGUAUUAUUAUAUCAUUUACUUCAUUGAUAACACAUCACUUAACAUAAAAUUUUAUUAUACUUAAUACUAUUAAUAUUAUAAAAUUAAAUAUUAUCCCAUUAACUAUUUAUUAUUGUUAUUAUUAUUAUUUUAGAAAUUACAAUUAACUAAGCAUUAGCUUAGUUAAUGGUAAUUAAUAUUUUCAUCCCAUACCUUCCCUACAAUUUAAUUCAAGUGGUUAACUAAAGAAAACAGUGGUUAAGCUCAUAUAAGGAAAAACAAAUUGUCAUGGUUUAUAUGAUUCAAUGUAUUAUUAUUUUAAUUUAAUACUUCUACACAUGGAGAUAACUAAAUUUAAUACUCCUACACGUGGAGAUAACUUUUUUGUAUAUGUCUUAGUAAUGUGAUUGUUUGUAUAUGUCUUAGUAAUGUGAUUGUUACUUAUAUGCAAUAUAAUGUCAUUAGUUAAAAAGUAGGACUAUUUAUACCCUAUAAAAUAUUUUGAACACCCUUUAUUAAAAUUUUAAUAUAAAUUUAUACUUAACACACCCUCUUCACACCGAUGAAAAUAUUUUUCUCACAAAACUAUGUUUCUUUUCCUCAAAAUUGCUAAGUGCGUAAUAGCUUGACAUUAUGCAUACAUAUAAGAGCACACAUACAUAUAAUCAUAUGUUCUUAAAGUUAAUAUUGGCGGGAGGGUAAACUUGAUUUAAAAUUUCAUAAAUGUUAAUGUCCUCAAUCUUAAGCUUUAUGCAUACAAUUAUGAAUAUUUAAUCUCUACUCAUAAAAACUAAAAAGGGAGGAAUAAAGAACAAACAUUUGUAAGUUCUUGACAUUAAUGGUGCGUUUACUUCAUGAGAAUGUGAAUAAUGUGGAAUGGGAAUGGGUUGGAAUGGGAAUGAAAUUUCAAUGACAAAAAUAAAUGGGAAUGGGAAUAUACUGGAAUACCAUUGAUGUGUUUACUUGACAAAAUAAAUGGGAAUGAGGAAUGAGAAUGAGAAUCAAUUUACCAAAAUAUCCAUAGUAUUAAUAAUUAAUAAAAAUAAUUAAUUUAUCAUUAUUAACAAUAUUAUCAUUAUUGUUUUUGUUGUUGUUAUUAUUAUUAUUAUUAUUAUUAUUAAAAAUCAUUAAUAAUAACUAAAAUAAAAAAGUUAAUAAAAUUUAAUAAUAAUAAUAAUAUAAUUAUUAUUAAAUUAUAUUAACUUUAUUAUUUUAGUUAUUAUUAAUUAUUGUUAAUAAUAUUUUUAUUAAUAUUAUCAUUAUUAACAUUUAUUAUUAUUAAAUUUUAUUAACUUUUUUAUUUUAGUUAUUAUUAUUUUUAUUUUUAUUAAUAUUAUCAUUAUUAAAUUUAUUAUUAUUAUUUUUAUUAUUAUUAAAUUUAUUAUUUUAGUUAUUGUUAAUUACUGUUAAUAUUAUUUUUAUUAAUAUUAUCAUUAUUAACAUUUAUUAUUAUUAUUAUUAACUUUAUUAUUUUAGUUACUAUUAAUUAUUGUUAAUAUUAUCAUUAUUAACAUUUAUUAUUAUUAUUAUUAUUAUUAACUUUAUUAUUUUAUUUAUUAUUAAUUAUUGUUAUUACUAUUUUUAUUAAUAUUAUCAUUAUUAACAUUUAUUAUUAUUAUUAUUAUUAUUAUUAUUAUUAUUAUUAACUUUAUUAUUUUAGUUACUAUUAAUUAUUGUUAAUAUUAUCAUCAUUAACAUUUAUUAUUAUUAUUAUUAACUUUAUUUAUUAUUAAUUAUUGUUAUUACUAUUUUUAUUAAUAUUAUCAUUAUUAACAUUUAUCAUUAUUAACAUUUAUUAUUAUUAUUAUUAAAAUUAAAUUUUAUUGAAUUUGUUAUUUUAGUUAUUAUUAUUUUUAAUAAUAAUAAUGAUAAAUGUUAAUAAUGAUAAUAUUAAUAAAAAUAAUAAUAACUAUAAUUAAUAAUAACUAAAAUAAUAAAGUUAAUAAAUUUUAAUAAUAAUAAUAAUAACAACAAUAAGGAUAAUAUUGUUAAUAAUGAUAAAUUAAUUAUUUUUAUUAAUUAUUAUUUUUAUCAUUAUUUUUAUUGUAAAUAAUGAUAAUAUUACUGAUAAUAAUAAUAAUAAUUAAUAAUAACCAAAAUAAUAAAGUUAAUAAAAUUUAAUAAUAAUAAUAAUUAUUAUUAUUAAUGACAUUUAAAAUAAUAUUAUUAUUUGUGAUUUGAAUAAGGGUAAUUUAGGAAAUAUGAAAAAAUUAGAAGGAUAGAAAAAUAAAUUUAUGUUUUAUUAUCAUUCCCAACUCCCCAUGGGAAUGUGAUUCGCAUUCCUUAUUUCAGAUUGUGUGGGACCUACACAUUUUAUUCUCAUUUCCAAAUUACAUUUUGUUAAGUAAACAUAUGUUUCAUUCUCAUUCCUUCAUUCUAAUUCCCCAAACCCAUAAGUAAACACAGCAUAAGAACUUAUUCAGAUGAAUAUUAAUUUUGUCUCACAUUAAUUACAGUCUUUUUUUAUCCGUCUCAUUCCAUAAAACGAAUGGAAAUAUACUACUCCGUUCAAUAAUGCUAUUCCUCACAACUCUACCAACUCCAAUGAAGGAGACAAAGUUAAAUGUGUAAAACGCACUAAAUGCAUGCUUGGAUCAUAAAAGGGAGUUGCUUGAAGCCUUGAACCUGUAAAAUAAGAGUAAUGAUGCAGCAGGAUUUUGUAGCUCUGCUUUUGUAGGAAUCAUGGGACAUGUUGCGAAUAUGAUUGGUGAUGAAUAUUGCAUGGAGAUAAUCACAUAGAUAAAUGUUGUUGAUUCCACAUAGUUUAUCGGUGAUAAUAAAGUUAUAUCAAACUCUAAUAGAAGGGUAUAGUUAAGAAUAAUAUUUUAUUUCAUUGCAUAAGACACUCUUUAGUUAUAAAAUCGAAGUCGAGUGUUCAUAAUAUUUUUUACGAUGUAAAUAGCCCGCCCAUGAUUAAAAAUAUAAAAUUAACAAGGACUUAUAUAAAGAUCUUUAUGUGCAGGUAAAAUAUGAAUAGGACGAGGGAAAGUGAUUAUAAUAAUAUUAUAUCAUAGAAUUUAUAUGUUUACACAUUAAAAAAAAUGGUUGAAUCAUUUAAAUAGAGACUUGGUAACGUAGAAAACUGAAGUAAAAUAACAAGAAUUUUGUUAAAUCAAAGACGAUUUGGUUGGAAUUUGGCAAAGAAAUGGAACCCUAAUUUUUACUAAAAUUAGGCAAAAGAAAGCUUCUUCCCAAUUUGUUAAGUAAAUUCCUAUUUACCAGCUCAGAAUGGCUAUCCUGAGUUUGUGGAAAUAAAGCAACGGGUGUCACCACAAGAUAUGAUGAAUUCCCCUAAUCAAGGACAAACCCAUCACCAUAAAUAAACCCGACAAUCUCUUCCUCAAAUCAUCCCCAGCAUUUGAACGAUCUGCAUUGUUCUCUAUAUUCAGUAGAGAACCUUGCAUAUAAGGGGACAAAAAAUUAAAAAUAAUAAGACGAAAAACACAAACCCCAUCGUACAUGAUGGCUCGCCAGGUCAUUGUUCUUGCUCUCAUUUUUGUAGCCAUUAUCAGUGUGGCCUCAGCCCAGCAGGAACCCAUUAUUCAGCCACAACCCAAUGAACCCCAGCAGCCUAAUCAGCCGCAGGAACCCAAUCAGCCUAACCAACCCCAGGAACCCAAUCAGCCUCAGGAACCCAAGCAGCCUGAUCAGCCACAGACACAGCCACCUACCCAGCAACCACAGCAGCCCCAGCAGCCAAAUCAGGCACCCGGUGAGGCACCAACACAGGCACCUCCAGCCGGUGGUGCACCCGCACCGGCACCCGGAGAAGCCCCAGCAGGAGGCCCAAGCAGUGGACCAGCUGCUGGACCUGGACCUGCAGAAGGCCCCUCUGGCGAGGCUAAGUUGCCUGAGGUUGCAAUGCCAGGACCAGUGGGCGAGGGAGAUGAGAACAAGUCGGAAGGGAGUGGUGCAAGCUCCCUCAAAGUCUCCGCCCUCGUCGCUGGUGUUGCAGUCGCUGCUGCUUUCUUCUACUAAUCAUGAGCAAAUUAGCUACGUCUACAAAACCACGUACCCGAUUGACUAACAUUCGUCGGUUGUCUACCGCAAAGCUCAUUUGAUAUAUGGAUUUGUUUGUCAUUAAAAUUCGAGGUUUUACGUAUCAUGAUGAGUUUUAAAAUAUUGUGGAUUGGAGAUAUUUGGAUCUAUCAUUGGAUAAUUUCUAAGUUUAACCAAUUUUUAUCAUCAUAUGUGCCUGUGGGUGCCUCUUCCGAGUUGAGGCUCGUAUAUAAAAAUAUUAUCCAUUGUUUACGUCCUGCAGGCUGCAUGGCGACUGAUCGAUGCAUGUCUUUAUCUUUGGUCAAUUGCCUUUUGUUCUUUAUGGAAUAGGGUGGUGCUUAAUCCUGAAGAAAUGAAAUUGCUCGCAUUCAAUCACAAUAUUGUCACGAUUUGCUUUAAUUUAAAGAUUUUAUUAAUCCCGCCUAUUUAAAUAAAUAAUAUCCUGGCUUUAAUUUAUUGAGAUGAAAUUAAAACGAGACUUUGGAAUCCCUGAUCAGACGACGAGCGCUUGUUGCAGCAAGCAAUAAUAAAAGGUGGCGAACCAAGUGAAUGAAAUAUAUAUCCGGAUCCCCUGAGUUACAGUUAACGCAACUUACAGGAGCUGCUUUAGUCUUCUCUGAAUUGUCGCCGUAAAAUAUCGUGGAGCCCCUGUACUUUAUAUUAUUGAAAAUUUAUAAAUAUAAGUAGGGUUAUUUUUAAAGACCUCCCCUGAGGUUUAGUGUACUUACAGUCGGAUAGAAAGUAUGCAUGUAAUUAUAGGAACCUCCCCUAACGUUAGUAUUCAAAUACGUAUGGCAUCAGUAUGUAAGGGUAAAUGUGUAAACAUAUAUUUAAAAUUAAAAAAAAAAAUCAAAAGUGAGAUGAUUUUGUUGAUUCGGCUCUUUCACAGCCCUUCAAAGGAGCCAACAUCAUCGGGACCCUCACAGCUCUCAACGCCGAAGUCCGCUGGUGGUCCUGCAAUAUCUUCUCAACCCAAGACCACGUGGCCGCCGCCAUCGCACGUAACUCAGCCUCCGUCUUCGCUUGGAAGGGCGAGACCCUCUAGGAGUGCUGGUGGUGCACAGAGAAAGCUCUGGAUUAGGGUCGCGGCGGCCCAGAUCUCAUCAUUGACGACGGUGGUACGCCACGUUGUUGAUCCACGAGAGGGUCAAAGCUAAGGAGAUCUACGAGAAGACCCGGAAGCUACUCGACCCGGCCUCCACCGACAACGCCGAGUUUCAGAUUGGUUGUACCAGAUGCAAGAAAAUGGAACCCUCUCGUUCCCUACCAUCAAUGUCAAUGACUCUGUCACCAAUAGUAAGGUAAUUUACUUUGAUUUGCUUCAGAUCUCAAAUUUAUUUUAUACUAUCAAUUCAUUAAAUGUUUGAAAUAUUGGAAGAAAUUAAAUACUAAUGUUUGAUAAUGCAAUGGGGGAAACAAUUUGAUGACUUGUAUGGAUGCCGCCACUCGCUCCCAGAUGGUUUGAUGAGAGGUUUUGAUGUUAUGAUUGCCGGAAAGGUUGCUGUUGUUUGCGGUUAUGGUGAUGUUAGCAAUGGUUGUGCUGCUACUUUGAAGCAAGCCGGUGCAUGUGUAAUUGUAACUGAGAUUGAUCUGUACUAGGAAGUUAGGUUUAAAUUUCGUAGGAGUGUGUGUUUGGGUGGUGGGAAAGUUGAAGGAAAGAAAUAGAUUGGUUUCAGUUGAUUGAAGACCAUUUGGGAUUUGAAUAAGGUUAUGGAUGGAGCUGUGUGGAUCAUUUUGUAUUUGAUGCAGUUUUAAAGUUUUGCUUGCUUUGCUGCAUCUUGUUAUCCUAUUAUUUACUUAUGAAUGAUUAAAAAAAUUUUGUUUGGAGGUCAAGAAAAAACGAGAGAAAAUUUCAAUGAAAACGGAGAAUCAGUCUAAAAAAUAACUUAUCAUUUUGAGGAGAAGGGUACUUUUGUAAUUUUAACGGUCUACUAACAGUCAAACUAACUGGAUACUAACGUCAGGGGAGGUGCUUGUAAUUACGUGGAUACUUUCUAUCUAACUGUAAAUACACUAAACCUCAGGGGAGGUCCCUAAAAAUAACCCAAUAUAAGUAUUACGAAACUUUCUGUAUUGUAAAAUUUUGUUCAGACUCUUGCACUCUAUUUUAUUUCAUUGAAACCUUCAGAGUAUCAAAUUCAUCCCCUAUAAUUUUUAAAUUCUCAAAAUACCCUUCAUUUAAGUAAAAUAUCAUUAUUAUUAAAUGGAUUAUAGUUAUAAUUACAAUUAAAAUAAUUAUUUUAUUAUAAUUAUAAUUAUAAUUUUUAAAUGGAUUAUUAUAAUUAUUAUUAAUAACAAUAAUAAAAAGUUAUAAUUAAUUAAUCUAUUAACAAUAAUUAAUAAUAAUUUUUAUUUAAAUUGUUAAUAAUAAUAAUUAACAAUAAUUGUUAUGAAUAAUUAAUUUUUGAAUAAUAAUAAUCACAAUAAUUAAAAUAUAAAAUAAUAAUUAUGAUAAAAAUUAAUUAAGGAUUUUAUAAUAACCUUCAAGGAUAUUAAUCAUCGACAAAAUUUUUAAGGAUAUUAUCAUUCAUCUUCUUUAUAAUAUCAUCUCAUAAUAAUUAAUAUUUUCAUGAUAAAAGGAUUAACAAAAUAAAAAGUAAAUUUCCUUUGAAUUCAUCCAUUUCCACUAUUAACUUCUUUUCAUAAGCAACCUUCAUUGAUAAUUGAAGCCAUCAUUAGACUCAUCAUAGAGAAAGAGAGUGAGAGUGCGGAAGAAGAAAUGGGGAAAAAAAUGAAAUGUUUACAAUUUUAUAGUGUAUUCACUAAACAAUAAUCAAAAUUAGCUGGAAACAUAAUGAGUUAGAAUCGAAAUGAGAAAUUGGAAUCAGAAUAAUUUAUUUACUUGAAUUGCAAGAAUCGUAAUUACAAUGAGCUAUAUUACUAUUUAUAUGUUUUACUUUGUUUUAGAAUCAAAAUCGGAAUGAGUUAAAUUGUAACAAAUUAAUAUAAACAAAUCCUUAAUUAAUUUUUAUUGUAAUUAUUAUUUUGUAUUUUAAUUAUUGUGAUUAUUAUUAUUAUUCAAAAAUUAAUUAAUAAUAAUAAUUAUUGUUAAUUAUUAUUAUUAUUAACAAUUUAACUAGAAAAUUAUUAUUAAUUAUUGUUAAUAGAUUAAUUAAUUAAUUAUAAUACUUUAUUAUUAUUGUUAUUAGGGAUAUUAUCAUUUUCCCACCUAAGGUAUUCUGACACAUCAUGUCAGUACCACGGUUUGGUAAAACUAUCAAUUUACCACCAAACGUUUAAACUGUUAGCAUUUUCCCACCAUUCCGUUAAAACUCAUUUAAUAUGUAACGGAAAAUUUCUAAAAGGUCAAUUUUACCCCUGGAGUAUAAAAAACCAUGUAAUUAACCUUUUAUGAAUUUUGUAAUUAAAUCAUCAUUUGUUGUUCUUCAUUCUUAAAGGACAAAAAUUACCAUUUAUGAAUUUUGUAAAAUUGACCAUGUGGUAUUAGGUACUUCAUAAAUUGAUUUAAUUGAUUUAAUUUUUAAAGGGCAAAUUUAUUUAUUUAAUUUUUUGUGUAAAAUUAUUAUCAUCAUAUCAAAGAUUAAAUUGCUUCUUUUGCACAUUCUUUUUUUUUUCCCUUUCAUAAAUUGAUGUUUAGUAGUAGAAUAAAUUGUCUUUAGCUCGACAAUUUAAUAAAUAAAUUUGACCUUUAAAAAUUAAAUAAAUUAAAUCAAUUUAUAAAAGUACCUAGCACCACAUGGUCAAUUUUAUAAAAUUUAUAAGGGGUAAUUUUUGUCCUUUAAAAAGGAAGAACAACAAAUGAUAAUUUAAUUACAAAAUUCAUAAAAGGUUAAUUACAUGGUCUUUUACACUUCAGGGGUAAAAUUGACCUUUUAUGAAUUUUCUGUUACAUAUUAACGGAGUUUUAACGGAAUGGUGGGAAAAUGCUAACAGUUUAAACGUUUGGUGGUAAAUUGAUAGUUUUACCAAACCGUGGUACUGACAUGAUGUGUCAGAAUACCUUUGGUGGGAAAAUGAUAAUAUCCAUUGUUAUUAAUAAUUAUUAUAAUAAUCCAAUUAAAAAUUAUAAUUAUAUUUAUAAUUACAGUUAGGGGUGGGCGUUUGGAUCGGGUUAACCUGAACCGAACGAAACCCGAAAUUUUAUUUUGGUCUCGGUUUGGUUUGUGUUAACUAUAAAAAUCCAAAUGGAUUCAAAUUUCCAACCGGUUCGGCUUGGAUUUCGGUUCGGGUUGAACCCGAAUCGAAAUCGAGACCAGAUCGGGUUAAUUGAAAAAAAUAAAUAAAUAAAACUUAGAACACCAAAAAAUCAAAACCCUUAUUUCCUCUUUUCUCUUCUUUGCACUCCACAUCGAGACAAGCACAACCUCAACCCCAGCACACUCACAAUCUCACUCACAAACACCACCGGUGUCAAUUCAACUCAGUUAAGGUGCAUCAGCGUUGCAAUUUUAGAUUCAGAUGCUGCCUCCUUCUUCGUUUCAGAUCUAGUAUUCUUGGGCCCUUCGCUUUAGAUCUAGUCGUUGCCUCCUUCUUCGUUCGUAGUCGUCAGGAGCACAAGGUGAUGUUAAUGUCGAUGAUGUUUACGAUUCCGAUGAUGUUAUUUUUAGUGAUGUUUGCAUUUCGCUGCCUCCUUCUUCGUUAUUGUUAAUUGAAUGUAUAUUUUUGGAAGGAUUUGGUUUUCGGGACUUGGCAAACAAAUCCAAUCUCAGGUUCUAUUCCUCUGUUGAUACCCGUUUGCACUUAUCCAUUAGAAUUUUAUUAUGACGUUGCAACUCUCUGCGUAGCAACUGUAGUUUGUCUUUAACAGGAAUGGCUGCAUCUAUUUCAGCAAGAACUUGUAGGGUUGGCAAAAACCCGGGUCCGGUCCAGGUUUGGCCAUGCCCGGGACUGGACCGGAUCAAUAAAACAGCUGCCCGAACCGGGAUUGUGCCCGAUUUUUUCACAUCCAAUCCAGGUCAGGCCCGACACCUCCCGAGCACGGGUUUUUUAUCCGGGCUUUCUCUGCCCAGAUAAAUUACUGGUUUGCUGUAGUUAUUAAAGAUUCCAAUGAAAUCAACCUUGCAAAUCAUUCCAUUUACGGCAAAUCAAUUCCAAAACCAGCCAAUCUUAAAAUGCAAAAGUUUGAUAUCCAUGGAGCAAUGUUUGUGGUUCUUUGCCAAAAGAAUAGCCUGAAAAACGUGAGUCGAUGAUCUGCACUGCGUGGGUUCGAGUGGCUGGGUUCGCGUCGCGUGGGUUCGAGUGGCUGGUGCUAGGUUUACUGCUGGCUACUGCUGAGGUGGCUUCAUGCAUCGUGGCGGUGUGCUGGCCGGGUUUGUUGGAGGCUGCUGCUGCGGUGAUUUCACGUGGCUGCUGGGUUCGUAAAUCGCUACUUUACUGUUGGUGGUUGUGCUCGUGGCUGCUGGAUUCGGCGAUGAUUGGUCGUGGGUGCUAUUGUCGUGCUGGUUUUGAUCGGUUAGGUGAUGGCUGCUUGAGAGAUGUGUAAGAAGUGCAUACUGCACAGCAUUUAAUUUUAGAUAUUUUUUUAAAGGAGAAAUGCAAAUUAUGAAGAAAUUUGUGCUAUUAGAAUGAAAAAAAAAAUGAACUAAUUUGCAGAUUUUUUAUUUGAAAAGGAUUCAUGCUAGAGAAAGCCAAAAGUAAAGAAAAAGAAAAGAAGAAAAAAAAAAGAACCAUAGUCAUAUAACAGCAUGUGAGGGCUAUCAAAUGGUGCUUAAAGCACUCAAGAGUCAAGAUCUAAGCCAAGUGGUGGUCAAAGCACUCAAGAGCCAAGAGCUUGAGUGCUUUUGCUUUUUGCAAUCAGAUGAUGAUUUUGCAGGAUGUAUAAGACGUUUUUGCAAUCAGUGCUAGCUUGGAGUGUUUGCUGGGGGGGUGUUUGCUUUUUGCAGUUGGCAGCUUGUGUUUCCUUGGAAUGUUGAGUGGUGGCCGCUAGCUUGGAGUGUUGGAGAGCUGGAUGUGCGGCAGCCGGCAGUAGUGCUUGUGUUUGCAUACGAAUAAGAUAGAAAAUUACGGUAAGUUUCAAUUUUGGGUGUAUUACAUUUAUAUAUAUAUAUUUUAACUUAUCAAAACCCGGGCACGGAUCCGGGUUCCGAGUUUUUGGUGCCACAACCGGAACCGGACCUGGAAGUAUCCGGGUUUUAAACUUCAAUAACUGGACCCGUAUUAUUUGUAUAUGCGGUCCGGGUUUUGCCCGGACCUGAUUGGCCGGUUCCGGGCGGGUUUUAUUGCCACCCCUAAGAACUUGCCGAUAUACAUUCUAGAUUAUGCAUAUUUGCUUAACAUCAAUUACGAUUGGCCUUGAUAUGUGCUCCAAACUCUUGCAUAUAUAGAAUUGAACUUUAUUUUUAUUCUGAUUUAAGAUUUAAGAUUUGAGAAUUUAAAAUUUUAGUUGGUUAAUGACGAAUGUUUGGACAAUCAAACUAUUAUAACCCGAUUUCAACCCAAACCCAAAUUUCGAUCUGAAUUACUAACCCAAACCGAACCGAAAUAAUUUCGAUUCGGUUUAGUUUAGGUUUGUCUUUUGAACCCGAUUGGGUUGAAACCCAAACCGAAAUCCAAACAACCGAACUGAAACCUAAUUUGCCCACCCUUAAUUACAGUAAAAUAAUUAUUAUAAUUAUAAUUAUAAUCCAUUUAAUAAUUAUUAUAUUUUAUUUACAUGGAGGGUAUUUUGGGAAUUUAAAAAUUAUAGGGGAUGAAUAAUGAAUUUCAUACUCUAAGGGUUUCAAUGAAAUAAUAUAGAGUGUAAGACGCUGAACGAAAUUUUACAAUACAAAAAGUUUCACAAUACUUAUUAAUAAAUUGUGAAUAAUAUAAAGUGCAAGGGGCUCAGAGAUAUUUUACAGUAACAUUUCAGCAAACAGAGAAACAGCGGCAAGUUACGUUAACUGUAACAUGGGGAAUCCGAUCCGGAUCCAUAUAGGGGGAUCCUAUAAGGAUAUAUUGACAACCUAAGUUCGUAUCCGAGGAUAAGUACAGAUCCUUGAGGGCAAUAACAGACGGCAAUUAAACUUUGCGUUUCCUUCAAAUAUUCGAUAUUCCUCCAUACAUCCGGUGUCUUAUAAACGGGACGAAUUUCGUCGCCGUAGCCGGUAAGUGCUAAAAGUUAAAAGGUUUUCAGAAUUAUAUACCGCUGCCUUCUCCAACUUGCUGAGCUUUCAGCUUUGCACUCUUGAAUUCUGAAUACGACAUUAAUUUUUGUAAUUAGACAGACAUUAACAUUUAACCGGCCCGGCCGGGAACUUCAAGUUGUUAAAUAUGACAUGAACAUUCAGUAUCGGGAACCACGUUGUGUAUAAAGUAAAGAAAAUGCACAAGAAAAUCUUUCAACAUCAUCAAAUCGAGGGCCAGUGCACAACGCUGGCAUUUGCAUUGAGCUUUCUGAAACUGAAACUGAAACUGAAACAGUAACAGCACAGAUUGGCUGAUAAAAUACAUAACUAUAAAUUAUGGAGAUAAAAUUUUUGGAAUUAAAAAAGAUUCCUGAAGUGGCAGAUUAAACUGGAGGAUUGGUCAUCAGAUAGAUGGAACAGACGCGUACACUACACAGGCAGUUGGAAAUAUUUAUACAUGGAACUAACAAGAAUCAGUCAUACCCAACUCCUAAAUUACAUGACAAAACUAAAGAUUCACAAAGCAGAACUGGAUGAAGCGAGUGAUCUUGUAAAAGAAUACAAAAGCCAAGAAUAAUGCACGAGAGAGCAUGCCAUGCUAAGUAAAAAUUGCAGCUGCCAGUGUGGGGAAAGGCAGCUUUCCACAUUAAGCAAGUAGAAACCCUCGGAACAACAUAGUCAGGUGGGUAUCUGAGAUUAUGCCUCCUUAAAACUCAUAAUCUCAUUCCUCAGACAGGAAACCUAAUGUACAUUUGAGCAGAACAUUUCAAACCCUCUCCAUAAACCACAAAACUUUCAUCCCUAAUCACUUUUCUGGUAUACAAAAACAGAGACAAUGAUCAAUCUAUCAAUAAAAAUCCAUCGAAAGAAACGGUACAAAUGAAAAUCAAAUCUGAUUACAACAAAUUCAUACUGCAUGACAGAGGAAAUGUACAUGGAAUGUGGCAUCAUGCCUUCACCUGCAACAUUCUCAAAACAACCAAAACUCUCAGUUCCAGCCCAAUAGAAUGAUGCAGAAGUCCACAAUUUACGACUCCCAUGUGCAGGUAAACCUCACAACUUACAUAGACAAUAAUAAUAAUAAAGGUUAAAAAAAAAGGCACACUUCCAAUGUUCCUUUAUCUUUUAUGUAGAAAAUACAACUAGUUCUACACAUGUUACAAUAAUCAAUUACAAGUGAAACAAUUCCAGGUUACAAAUUACUAAAAGCUCAUCACUGACUAUCCUAAAUCAGUUACACUGCAUCAAAUGUAAACACAAUUGUGCCUCAAAGUCAGUACAACAGUCUUACAAGCUCACAGCGAGCCACAAAUAGUCAAAUAAAUAAUGAAAGAGGCCUUUACAUGUGAUGGACCUAAUACAUGUAACUCAAUUUUACAGAAACAUGAGAUGAUGCUUUACAAAAUGGUAUAUAAACCUAUUAAACAAAAUCCUUUCCAUUUUUUGACAAUUUCAUGGCUUCAACUAUUUCUAGGCAUUCUCUUCCAGGAGAGCAGUUCACACAUUCUUAAGGGCCGCUCGAGGGGGCAAAAAAGUGAAAGCCAAAAUUGUCAAGGCUUGUUUGCACACUUGACAGACCAAAGCCAAUAUUUGAGAAAGCGAAUGAAUGCAGCCCAUCAAACACAUCUUCCUUGGUUGCUACUCCACUCCCUGAAUAUGGUGAUAAAAAGAAAGCCCCCAUGUCAAUAGACUUGGAAAAAGAAAACCUACCAGCCAAAGAGGCCACUAAACUUUCCUCAAAGAGCACUACAUGAUUUUAGUACCAUAUUCCUACAAUCAAUGAAUCAAUCACAAUCACCCAUGACUGGGGACCUCAUGUAAGUCCUACAUGAUAAACAGCCCAGAUUUCACAACAGGGAAGUAAAGCCCUUAACUGGAAGGUGUUUUGCUCUCUUUGAUCAGAUAACAUAUCAAACUCAAGUACGUCCAAAUCCACCCAUUCAUAACAAAAGUCUAAGGGAAUCACACUUCUACAAAACACAAAUACAUUAUUUGCCAUGUGACUUUACUAAAACUACCGUACCCGGCUGAAACUCACAACACCAGAUAUGACAACUUUUCAUUCUAGGAUAAACCAUAAUAAAAUAAUAUCAUACACUAGAAAUUAGGGAAAACAUUCUAUUAUACUAGUUACCACCAAAAUAACGGAACUUCUAAAAUAUAUAAUGAUUUGGAAGAUAGUUCUUUUAUGGCUAAAAUAGUGUUUUGGAAGAAGAAACAAAAGUUCAAAUAGCUGUUUUAAUAUUUAAAAGUAUAUUGAUCUUCAAGAGAACUAAUCAAAUUAAAAUAACUAAUUGAAACUUCAAAGAACAAUCACAAACGAUUAGUAGAAAGAAAAAGAAAGAGGGAAGCAAGAAAAGAAAGCAGCCAACCAUGCCUUCAAGAAAAGCUUCUCUCUCUCUCUCUCUCAUUUUUCUUUGUGAUUUUUUUUCUUCUUUUCGAGUAAAACCAAAAAGAUUGUAUCCGAAGGACAAGAAAAAGAUAUAAAAAAAUUCAAAAAGGUGAACAAGCAAUCCACUGAACCAGCAAACGAAUCAAACAAAACAACCAAACAAAAACAGAAGCACCAAAAAUCAAACACUACUCACGACUUCAAGAAAAGCUUUCAGAAACAGAUUCUUAGUUGACAUUCACUAAGAUACGAAAGAGAAGAUUGGAAGCCAUUUACUAGACCAACAACUCCAAAAAUUGGCCAUCAUAUCCACUUAUCCUUACCCCCAAUUCCAAGCGAAAAAACCUAAAAGAAUUUAACAUUCCAAGUAAUCCACCAGUCCAUAAGCAUAAGCAGCACCACACAUACAUUGUGGAUAUAAUUCAAAAUGGGAGGAUGAAUAACAUAGACUUUAAUAAAUAGUUACGAUGCCCUAGCAAUAUUUGAAACAUUGCUAGUAUGACUUGCUGAUCAAAUAAAACUCACUUGAAAAGAAAAUAAUAAAGGCAUGCUACAUAUCAGCUGUUGCUUCUUCUGAGGAAGGUCAAUUUGAUGGGAAGAUACAAAGACCACAUAUUAAACAUUGUCAAGUCCGAGAGAAACCCCUGAAGUAGGACUUCAUUUUCUAAGACAAGACUAAGAAUCCUUAAUUAGUUGACCAUCACCACUUUGGCCAGCACUUUACCCCUUAUGGGCCGACCCGGUGCGAGCGGGGAUUAGUCUGGGUUGUGGUACGGGCUUAAAGGUGCCUCCCACAGUUGGGGCCCACUCAGGACCACCUCGUGGUUCAGACAAAAAAAAAAAAACUAUUCUAAUAAAAGACAGAUGAAUUCUAAUUCCAAAUUCAAAUCUAAAUGUCAUUUGAAGUGAUACAAAGGACCCAGAAGGCAGAAGGACACAGCUAUCACAUGCAUCAGUUUAAAUAUUAAAGUCAUGCACUGACUCAGACUUACGAGCACCCUUUAAAUACAAUCCCAAUAAAAAUAAUGGGUUGGCAUGGAAAAAAAACCAUAUUCUAUAAUCAACUAUAAAAAAACCAUAUUCUAUAAUCAACAACUACGAGAAGACACAGGUGUAGAAAGCAAUAUGGACAACUAAUUCAAACUAUGAUAUAAUUAGAGUAGGCUUUGUAACAUGUGACCAGAAGCCCCAAAACCAUUGUCUCAGAAAUAGAUUCAGUAGAAUAAAUAUAAAGCCAUUGGGAUACUCGGCAAGGAUAUCAAGAGUCCAACCCUAGAUAGAAUAUCCCCAUUGGCAUGCAACUCAAAGUCACUCAUCAUUUUUUAACAAACAAAUAAGUGUUGGCAGUAACGUUUAUAGAAUGCAGUACGAAAGAACAGAGAAUCUAUGCUUCCCUUCUACAAAUAUGAGAACUUACUUUUCCCUCAAGAAACCACUCUGCAUUUAGGCCACAGUAACCAGGAAAAGCGAUAGGUAGAAGCAUUGUAACAACCCAAGAGCAAUACAGUAAGAUAUAGAGAAUAUGAGGUCUUGUAUGACAUGCCACGGAAGAAUGAAAAGCGUGACUCUGUCACUCUGAUGGUAGCCGUCUCCUCUUCCCAUAGUCCACAUCUCUCGAUCGAGAUCUGUGGUCUUCAUCUGGGAUUACUCCGGACCUGCUCCGAGAUCUUGAAGACGAUUGCCCCUUGUCCCAGUUGUCAUCAUAAGUUGAGUCACGAUCUCUUUGUCGACGAUCACGAUAACUAUCUUUUUCUUCCCUGUGUCUGUGAUCUCUGUGAUCCCUUUCAGAUCUGUCCCAGUCUUGUUCCCUCUCCUCUCGGUGCCUCCUAUCUGUGUUCCCAGACCAGUCACGCUCAGAACCACGAUCCUUUUCCCGGGAGGCAGCAGUUGACCUUGCUCCUUUUUCAUGACUUGCCUCCCCAUACCCAUAAUCAGAAGCACCAUCAUCACCACCAUAACUUGACUCCCUUGUCCUUCGUCCAUAUUCCUCUCCUACCCAUCCACCCAUGCUUGAGUCAGUCCACAUCCCUGGAUGCGGUCCAUCCAUUCCAGAAGAACCCAUCAUACCCAUCCCAUUAGCUGCCAUUCCUCGGUUAAAGAAUGCUGGGUUGACAUGAGGAGCCACCCCAGCAAGGCCCAUUGCAUUAACAGCAGGAAAUGAAGGAAGCAUACCAGGAAAACCUGGACCCGAAAAACCUCCAUAACCACCUCCUCGACCCAUGUAUGUUGGAUCAAACCCUCCCAUCAUAUUCUGUGGAUGCAUCAUACCACCUGCAGGACCCCCAAAGCCAGGACCUGCAAGGCCUUGUCCAUAACCUCCACCAGCAGCAGGUCCAGCACCGCUUCCAGCUCCAGAACUACUCCCAAUCAUGUUCCUUGCACCCAUGGGCCCUCUUCCCCUCAUCGCUCCACCACCAGGACCUCUGUUGGGUACACCCUGCCCACCUCGUCCCCAGCCGCCCCUUCCAAAAUUCCUACCUCCAUCACCACUCUGAUAAUUCGUGUUACCACCUCUCCCACCACCGUCGUUCAUAGGUCUGCUUCCCUGAUUCUGUGACUGAGGCUGGCCUUGGUUUUUGUUCAUGUAAGAAGCUCCCAUCUGUUUCAAUGUUUGAGGAGAAGCAAAAGCCACAACACAUGGUCGUCCAUUGAAAACAUGACCAUUCAUUCCAUCUUUGCACGCAGCUGCAGCAGCUGCAUCAAAGAAUUCGACUUGGCAAUAACCUUUGGAUUUACCACUAGCUCUCUCAUCAAAAAACUUAAUCUCCUUGGCCCUUCCAUACUGAGACAAAACACUUUCAAGCUCCGCAUCAGUUGUCCACCAAUGUAAUUCUCCCACAAACAGCAUUGUCCCACCAUUCUCUAGAGGAGGCCGGAUUUGAUUCUCAUUCACCAUUACACGAUUGACAUUUGCAUUUACACCCAUUUGAUUAGCUGGAAUCAGAGCACCUUGAGGACCAGCAGCACCGGGAUUUAGCACAGGUGCAGGCUCAUUGGCUGCUCUUCCCGGCAGAUUAGAAGGAUCAACUCCAGUUCUUGGGGGACCUGACGUAGACCCUUGAAAACCCAUAUUUCUAACAUGGGCAUCAUGAGUUGUCUCUUGGACACUCCCUUUCUGUGAAACAGAAGCUCCAUCUGGGUAAUUACCAGAUCCCAUGUUUGGUCUGUUGACAGCAACCUGCACAUCAUUUUGAGCAGGAAAGUGGGACCCAGCAUUGGUGUACUUUCCUUCAACAGAAACCCCAGGGAUGUUUGACCCUUGUGAACCCCCAACUUGAACUCGUUGCUCGGGAACAUCAGUUUUCUUAACUUGAAGUCUUCCAUUGCCCACACCAGCGGAUGGGGGAGGUGCCUCAGGCUGCUGAAACUGCAAUAAACCAUCUCCGACAUUAACAUCAUUAUAUAGAUCAUCAUACUCAUCAUCUUCUCCCAUCAACUCUUCAUCUGCAAGAGCAGGUAUAGCUCCACCUCCCUGAUACUGCAUCUUUUGAGCCCC
Molecule: long non-coding RNA, 18404 nt
Filed under: Citrus maxima (pomelo)
Lineage: Eukaryota; Viridiplantae; Streptophyta; Magnoliopsida; Sapindales; Rutaceae
Description: long non-coding RNA (CMAX_LNC003205)
Source: RNAcentral